UUCAUGAUAAUAUUUUGGGGGGUAGUAAUGAAGUUAUUGAUUUACAGCAAAAAAAGCAUUUGCCAUUCGAGAACAGACACCUGUUAAGGUAACAGAUGACACCUCUACAGAAGUGGACGAGGAUGUAUUUCCUGAACUUGUUGCUGAAAGGGGCAUUUGCUUUAGUUUACAUACUAAUAAUGAUUCCACUUCUGCACAUAAGUUGUCCCCUCUUCUGACUGAUGGGAACUCUGUCAGCAAGACUUCAACCUUUACUGAAUGCAAUGAAGGCAACAAAACGUCUGCAUUUCAUUCCAAAAGACCCAGGUUGGAUGAUUCCAAGCUUGCAAAAGAGACCAUUGAAGACAUCCUAAAGUGCAAACCUGGUGGUGUAGAAGUCAUGCAGCACUAUAAAGACACUGGUAAUCUCUCAACCUCCAAAAGAAAGGAGAUGAUUAAUAUAUUGGUUGCACACAUGACUGAACAAGAAGGGUAAGCUUUGUUCAUUUAAUGUGUUAAGAUCACUGUACUUACAACUUAUUCAAAUGUGACCCUGCCUGUGAAAUACUAUUAAAUAUUUAUUAAUAAAUAAAUACAUCAUCUAGUUGCUUAACCCGUGGUUUCUAAAGUGAUCCAACAUUACUUUUACGCCAAGUGUACCAAGAACCGUUUUUAUAGAUGCUAUUGUUUCUACCCCAAGUAAACAGGAGGGUUUGGUUUCAUGGUGUAUUGUUUAUUAUUGCAGAAGGAUACCGCUUAAGGCCACAAGAGAGAUGUAUGCCCUUGGCAUUAUUACUCUUUCCAAACCUAAAAGAUCCUGAAGGGAAGACAGGCUAUGAACAAUACUAUGACACACAGAGAGGCACAGGUUUUAUUAUGAAUCGCCUAAAGACGGUUCAGAGAAACACUAAUUGUAAAAUGCCCUCUCAAUCAAAUGAGAAAUCUUGUGACCCUAGAAUGGAGGAAAU
Pungitius pungitius (ninespine stickleback) is the source of this 947-nucleotide long non-coding RNA. RefSeq lists it as uncharacterized. The transcript is spliced from 4 exons. NCBI's taxonomy places the organism in Eukaryota, Metazoa, Chordata, Actinopteri, Perciformes, Gasterosteidae. The record is from RefSeq and is a predicted model, not a curated record.